UAACGCGUGGGCAACCUGCCCCGCACUGGGGGACAACAGCCGGAAACGGCUGCUAAUACCGCAUAUGCGCACAGCUUUGCAUGAAGCAGUGUGGAAAACUCCGGUGGUGCGGGAUGGGCCCGCGUCUGAUUAGCUGGUUGGCGGGGCAACGGCCCACCAAGGCGACGAUCAGUAGCCGGCCUGAGAGGGUGGACGGCCACAUUGGGACUGAGACACGGCCCAGACUCCUACGGAAGGCAGCAG
RNAcentral lists this ribosomal RNA (243 nucleotides) under uncultured bacterium. Its description in RNAcentral is "partial 16S ribosomal RNA". It matches the Rfam family "Bacterial small subunit ribosomal RNA", at positions 111 to 354 of the family's 1533-position model. The record is from RNAcentral.